UAUCAGUGUUGCCAUGAGCAACAUCUAGUUCAUUUUGUUAUUCAGUGUUCACUUUGAUAUAUGCUACUUUCUGGAAGGAUGGGUUUUAAGUGGUUCCUCUCCUCUAUCCCAAUUCUGAAUCUAGCUGGCAAGUAGAAAACAAUGCAUAUAAUAAGUGAUAACUGUGGAAGUAU
Non-coding RNA from Ictidomys tridecemlineatus (thirteen-lined ground squirrel), 173 nucleotides. The record is from Ensembl. NCBI's taxonomy places the organism in Eukaryota, Metazoa, Chordata, Mammalia, Rodentia, Sciuridae.